UGUAGAGCACAUGUUAUGGUUAUCAAAGUGGUUUACUGUAAGGCUGAGGGCUAUGCAUU
This 59-nucleotide small RNA is filed under the name Homo sapiens (human). RNAcentral's name for it is "nc028 non-coding RNA". Lineage: Eukaryota; Metazoa; Chordata; Mammalia; Primates; Hominidae. The record is from RNAcentral.